This 623-nucleotide ribosomal RNA is filed under the name Staphylococcus aureus. RNAcentral's name for it is "bacterial SSU rRNA". It matches the Rfam family "Bacterial small subunit ribosomal RNA", at positions 1 to 606 of the family's 1533-position model. The record is from RNAcentral. Lineage: Bacteria; Bacillati; Bacillota; Bacilli; Caryophanales; Staphylococcaceae.
UUUAUGGAGAGUUUGAUCCUGGCUCAGGAUGAACGCUGGCGGCGUGCCUAAUACAUGCAAGUCGAGCGAACGGAUGAGAAGCUUGCUUCUCUGAUGUUAGCGGCGGACGGGUGAGUAACACGUGGAUAACCUACCUAUAAGACUGGGAUAACUUCGGGAAACCGGAGCUAAUACCGGAUAAUAUUUUGAACCGCAUGGUUCAAAAGUGAAAGACGGUCUUGCUGUCACUUAUAGAUGGAUCCGCGCUGCAUUAGCUAGUUGGUAAGGUAACGGCUUACCAAGGCAACGAUGCAUAGCCGACCUGAGAGGGUGAUCGGCCACACUGGAACUGAGACACGGUCCAGACUCCUACGGGAGGCAGCAGUAGGGAAUCUUCCGCAAUGGGCGAAAGCCUGACGGAGCAACGUCGCGUGAGUGAUGAAGGUCUUCGGAUCGUAAAACUCUGUUAUUAGGGAAGAACAUAUGUGUAAGUAACUGUGCACAUCUUGACGGUACCUAAUCAGAAAGCCACGGCUAACUACGUGCCAGCAGCCGCGGUAAUACGUAGGUGGCAAGCGUUAUCCGGAAUUAUUGGGCGUAAAGCGCGCGUAGGCGGUUUUUUAAGUCUGAUGUGAAAGCCCACG